Orcinus orca (killer whale) is the source of this 195-nucleotide long non-coding RNA. RefSeq lists it as uncharacterized. The record is from RefSeq and is a predicted model, not a curated record. Lineage: Eukaryota; Metazoa; Chordata; Mammalia; Artiodactyla; Delphinidae. The transcript is spliced from 3 exons.
GUACUUACUUCCUAGUUUAUUUGCUUUGGAAAGAGGGCAAUUUUCCCAUUCAGUGAUGCUCCAAAGUUCAAGGAGAACUACCCUGAGAUGGAAAUGGGAUGCUUUUCUCUUGUGUGAAAGUGUGCAUCACCAACCAGUAACUGGGAAGAUGGAAAAUAUACCUAAUGAACUGUUAAGAGUUGGCUAACAGGACCU